Long non-coding RNA from Grammomys surdaster, 428 nucleotides. RefSeq lists it as uncharacterized. The record is from RefSeq and is a predicted model, not a curated record. The transcript has 3 exons. Lineage: Eukaryota; Metazoa; Chordata; Mammalia; Rodentia; Muridae.
UCUCCGAGGUCUCUUUGGCGUGAAUCCCUAGGACUGCUGAGAGUCUGAGCCUCCUGUGGCUCCCUUCACACUGGGUCAGAGAGAUACAGCUGCUCACAGAACGACAGGGAGAUUCUGCCCCUCCUUUGGCCAGACUGGGGCUAUGGAAGCUGGCUAGCCCGGGCUGGACCUUGGUUUGAAGCAAGGAGAUCCGCCUGUCCUGGAACACGGAGGGGAUUUGCAAAGAUGGGCUAGAUCUUUACUGCGCGCGCAACUUGCAACUUCCGGGCUCUUUCCCACCACCGCUUUUCGACCCAGGCCAAGAGCGGGGAGACCAGUGAGGACUGCUAAGGAAUGAGUUCCAGGCCGUCAGAAUGCUGAUCGCGCACUGUUCUUGUCACGGGUGUUUGUGAAUUUACCACUUGCUAAAGUAUUUCUGUAACUCUAAA